This 79-nucleotide transfer RNA is filed under the name Williamsia faeni. RNAcentral describes it as "tRNA-Pro". Lineage: Bacteria; Bacillati; Actinomycetota; Actinomycetes; Mycobacteriales; Nocardiaceae. The record is from RNAcentral.
CGGGUUGAUGUGCUGGUCAGGGCCAUAUAUUACUUGACUGGGGGUCAAGUGGUCGCAGGUUCAAAUCCUGUCAGCCCGA